RNAcentral lists this ribosomal RNA (253 nucleotides) under uncultured bacterium. Its description in RNAcentral is "partial 16S ribosomal RNA". It matches the Rfam family "Bacterial small subunit ribosomal RNA", at positions 524 to 776 of the family's 1533-position model. The record is from RNAcentral.
UACGUAGGGUGCAAGCGUUGUCCGGAAUUAUUGGGCGUAAAGAGCUCGUAGGCGGCUUGUCGCGUCUGCCGUGAAAACCCAGGGCUCAACUCUGGGCGUGCGGUGGGUACGGGCAGGCUAGAGUGCGGUAGGGGAGAUUGGAAUUCCUGGUGUAGCGGUGGAAUGCGCAGAUAUCAGGAGGAACACCGGUGGCGAAGGCGGGACUCUGGGCUGUAACUGACACUGAGGAGCGAAAGCAUGGGGAGCGAACAGG